This 305-nucleotide ribosomal RNA is filed under the name uncultured bacterium. RNAcentral's name for it is "partial 16S ribosomal RNA". It matches the Rfam family "Bacterial small subunit ribosomal RNA", at positions 505 to 807 of the family's 1533-position model. The record is from RNAcentral.
ACAGCAGUCGCCACGGUAAUACAGAGGGUGCGAGCGUUAAUCGGAUUUACUGGGCGUAAAGCGUGCGUAGGCGGCUAAUUGAGUCGGAUGUGAAAUCCCCGAGCUUAACUUGGGAAUUGCAUUCGAUACUGGUUAGCUAGAGUGUGGGAGAGGAUGGUAGAAUUCCAGGUGUAGCGGUGAAAUGCGUAGAGAUCUGGAGGAAUACCGAUGGCGAAGGCAGCCAUCUGGCCUAACACUGACGCUGAGGUACGAAAGCAUGGGGAGCAAACAGGAUUAGAUACCCCAGUAGUCCCUGUCUCUUAUAC